This is an unclassified non-coding RNA of Aotus nancymaae (Ma's night monkey), 96 nucleotides long. It matches the Rfam family "Y RNA". From Rfam's summary of the family: Y RNAs are components of the Ro ribonucleoprotein particle (Ro RNP), in association with Ro60 and La proteins. The record is from Ensembl. Lineage: Eukaryota; Metazoa; Chordata; Mammalia; Primates; Aotidae.
GGCUGGUCCGAUGGUAGUGGGUUAUCAGAACUUAUUAACAUUAGUGUCACUAAAGUUGGUAUACAACCCCCCACUGCUAAAUUUGACUGGCUUAAA